UGGCGGACGGGUGAGUAACGCGUGGGUAACCUGCCUUACACGAGGGGGAUAACACCUAGGAAACAGGUGCUAAUACCGCAUAAGCGCACAGGGCCGCAUGGCCCGGUGUGAAAAACUCCGGUGGUGUAAGAUGGACCCGCGUCUGAUUAGCUUGUUGGCGGGGUAGGGGCCCACCAAGGCGACGAUCAGUAGCCGGCCUGAGAGGGUGGACGGCCACAUUGGGACUGAGACACGGCCCAAACUCCUACGGAAGGCAGCAG
Molecule: ribosomal RNA, 260 nt
Filed under: uncultured bacterium
Lineage: Bacteria
Description: partial 16S ribosomal RNA
Rfam family: Bacterial small subunit ribosomal RNA
Source: RNAcentral